CUGAGCCUCGUGUAUCAUCUCAAGGAAGGGCUGGAACAUGGCGUGGAAGUUCAGGGGCUCGUACGGAGAGAAGGGCAUCAAGCUGCGGACGAUGCGGGACUUGGGAAAGAAGAAGUGAGGCCUCCGGUGGGGCAGGCUGAAGGGCAGGUAGUGGUAGGUAUCCUGGGGCUCCCGGGUGAAGAACCUGUCCUGGAAGAGCUCGUCUAUGAUGCUGGACGCGCGGCUGAAGUGGUCCUGCAUGACAUCCAGCAUGUGCGUCUGCUGCCGGUCGUUCUCCAGCAGGGAGUCGAUGCGGUCACCAUUCAUCCAGAAGUAGAAGGGCGAGCUCUGGUUCAGGAACUCCUCAAGCUGGGACAGCCAGCAUGGGCACAGUUAGGAGAAGCUCACCAAGGCCACGGCCUCCUGG
RNAcentral lists this long non-coding RNA (406 nucleotides) under Homo sapiens (human). Its description in RNAcentral is "HSALNT0345829". Lineage: Eukaryota; Metazoa; Chordata; Mammalia; Primates; Hominidae. The record is from RNAcentral.